This 2069-nucleotide long non-coding RNA is filed under the name Salmo salar (Atlantic salmon). RNAcentral describes it as "lncRNA (ENSSSAG00000097342.1)". Lineage: Eukaryota; Metazoa; Chordata; Actinopteri; Salmoniformes; Salmonidae. The record is from RNAcentral.
GUGUCUGUAGGACUGUCUGUAGCGUGUCCGUAGGACUGUCUGUAGCGUGUCCGUAGCGUGUCUUUCGGACUGUCUGUAGCGUGUCUUUCGGACUGUCUGUCGGACUGUCUGUAGCGUGUCUGUAGGACUGUCUGUAGCUUGUCCGUAGGACUGUCUGUAGGACUGUCUGUAGCGUGUCUUUCGGACUGUCUUUCGGGCUGUCCGUAGCGUGUCCGUAGGACUGUCUGUAGCGUGUCUUUCGGACUGUCUGUAGCGUGUCUUUCGGACUGUCUGUCGGAAUGUCUGUAGCGUGUCCGUAGGACUGUCUGUAGCUUGUCCGUAGGACUGUCUGUAGCGUGUCUUUCGGACUGUCUCUAGUGUGUCCGUAGGACUGUCUGUAGCGUGUCCGUAGCGUGUCUUUCGGACUGUCUGUAGCGUGUCUUUCGGACUGUCUUUCGGACUGUCUGUAGCGUGUCUGUAGGACUGUCUGUAGCGUCUCUGUAGGACUGCCUGUAGGACUGUCUGUAGCGUGUCUGUAGGACUGUCUGUAGCGUGUCCGUAGGACUGUCUGUAGCGUGUCCGUAGGACUGUCUGUAGCGUGUCCGUAGGACUGCCUGUAGGACUGUCUGUAGCGUGUCUGUAGGACUGUCUGUAGCGUGUCUGUAGGACUGUCUGUAGCGUGUCUGUAGGACUGUCUGUAGCGUGUCCGUAGGACUGUCUGUAGCGUGUCCGUAGGACUGUCUGUAGCGUCUUUCGGACUGUCUGUAGCGUGUCUUUCGGACUGUCUGUAGCGUGUCCGUAGAACUGUCUGUAGCGUGUCCGUAGGACUGUCUGUAGCUUGUCCGUAGGACUGUCUGUAGCGUGUCCGUAGGACUGUCUGUAGCGUGUCCGUAGGACUGUCUGUAGCGUGUCCGUAGGACUGUCUGUAGUGUGUCCGUAGGACUGUCUGUAGGAUUGUCUGUAGCGUGUCUGUAGCGUCUUUCGGACUGUCUGUAGCGUGUCUUUCGGACUGUCUGUAGCGUCUGUCGGACUGUCUGUAGCGUGUCUUUCGGACUGUCUGUAGCGUGUCUUUCGGACUGUCUGUAGCGUGUCCGUAGGACUCGUCUUUCGGACUGUCUGUAGCGUGUCUUUCGGACUGUCUGUAGCGUGUCCGUAGGACUGUCUGUAGCGUGUCCGUAGGACUGUCUGUAGCGUGUCCGUAGGACUGUCUGUAGCGUGUCCGUAGGACUGUCUGUAGGACUGUCUGUAGCGUGUCCGUAGGACUGUCUGUAGCGUGUCCGUAGGACUGUCUGUAGCGUGUCCGUAGGACUGUCUGUAGCGUGUCCUUCGGACUGUCUGUAGCGUGUCUUUCGGACUGUCUGUAGCGUGUCCGAUACCACAACAGUAACAUUUGUACCUUUUGAGUCCAAUAAUUCAUCUUUAAACCAAAUCAAUUGAAAAUCUCCUUUGAAUCUUCCUAGUGCUACUUACUGUAUGUACAACAUUGUCACCCCAGUCGAGUGAACUCUAGUAAGCAUCACAGAGAGUAGUCACUACAGAAGGGACCAGCAUGUUGAGGGAAUAGGGUGCUAUUUGAGACACACUGAAUGUGCUGCUACAGACAGACGCUGUGCCCUCCCUAAUAGUAGGAAUCCUAACGAUGGAAGCUGGCCAUCAGAGAAUGUACCAGUUUGUUUACUUUGCCAUGGUAACCCACCCUCCUGCACUACAAGUCAUAUGUGCCAGAACUGGACUUCAAAACCAGUAAAGUUUGUGUUUAAUCAAGUAUCUAGAAUUAUAAUACUAACAACACAUUCCCACUUUGAAACAACAAAGCUGAAUGUCACAUAUCUAUGGGUGGUUAUGGGUGGUGAUGGAUCGUGAGGUAUAUGACAGAACACACCAUGUACUAUAAUCGUAUAGUACAUCAGUACUGCAUAUGGUGACUAUAUUUAUACAUGUUCGUACUGUAUAAAUAUAGAUAAGUAUAUUUCUAUGUACAUUUGGAUAUUUAAACAUUGCAUAAAGAAUAAAAUAAAUAAUACAAAUAUAAUGAAAUGUUACAGUGAGUACGAUUUGAGAAACGCUAUAUUAGAGGCCAAAAAUGUCCU